CAUUGGAAUCUAUUGGCUACAAAAUAUUCCCCUGCGCUAAAGUCAUGGCAUAAAAGGGGCUGAAAUCCUGGGCUUUCUGGGCAGAAGGAUCUACGAGCGGGAUCGUGGGUGAAACAUGAAGAUGAUGGUGGACAGGUGAGCUACGCAGUUCGUGGAAGAACCAGGGGUCACAUGGCCUAGAUGCUACCCUAGAUGAGAAAGAGUCCAAUGGUUAUCAACAAGUUCUGAAAGGCAAGGCCUAAGGUACUGAAAAUUAUAUUACUCAAAGCUGAAGGCAGCAAAUCUGUUCAUGUUUACACAGUUGGGAAAGUGGACUUGUGUUUUUUACAAGCAAACCAGUGACCAGCCAAUGGCAGGAGACCUUCCCCACCCCUAAAGGUGAUGCUCACCUACCGUCAUGGGUAAAAGGAAGCUCUGGCUCGAAUUCCUCAUGUAUUAUUCAUGUGUGAUGCCACCCAACGUGAUUCAGAGAAGAAAAUUCUCAGUGUGUUCACCAGAGGUGAUUACAUGAGAAUAAAGCACGGCCUGAUUUUUUUUCUUGUUCACAGGAAAAAAAAAA
Molecule: long non-coding RNA, 559 nt
Filed under: Homo sapiens (human)
Lineage: Eukaryota; Metazoa; Chordata; Mammalia; Primates; Hominidae
Description: HSALNT0378316
Source: RNAcentral